UUGUUUCCGAUAUCUUUUCUCUACGCAAAAUUUGAUGGAAUAAUUUAUGGGGCAUCAAAUCGGGAGAGCAUCGUAGUGAACUCGGCAUCAUUGUAGAGACAGAGUUAGAGACAGAGAGAUGCAAAAGUGGAAUGGAACAUCUCGUUUCACAUAGAUAUUCUCCUUUUUUUGUAUACAUGUAGUUCCUUUUUUGU
Non-coding RNA from Caenorhabditis elegans, 194 nucleotides. The record is from Ensembl. Lineage: Eukaryota; Metazoa; Nematoda; Chromadorea; Rhabditida; Rhabditidae.